This 64-nucleotide transfer RNA is filed under the name Acropora cervicornis. Its description in RNAcentral is "tRNA-OTHER". It matches the Rfam family "tRNA". From Rfam's summary of the family: Transfer RNA (tRNA) molecules are approximately 80 nucleotides in length. Their secondary structure includes four short double-helical elements and three loops (D, anti-codon, and T loops). Further hydrogen bonds mediate the characteristic L-shaped molecular structure. tRNAs have two regions of fundamental functional importance: the anti-codon, which is responsible for specific mRNA codon recognition, and the 3' end, to which the tRNAs corresponding amino acid is attached (by aminoacyl-tRNA synthetases). tRNAs cope with the degeneracy of the genetic code in two manners: having more than one tRNA (with a specific anti-codon) for a particular amino acid; and 'wobble' base-pairing, i.e. permitting non-standard base-pairing at the 3rd anti-codon position. The record is from RNAcentral. Lineage: Eukaryota; Metazoa; Cnidaria; Anthozoa; Scleractinia; Acroporidae.
GUCUCCAGUAGCUCAGUGGUUAGAGCAUCCGGCUAGGUCGUGGGUUCAAAUCCCAUCUGGGGCU